GAUGAACGCUGGCGGCGUGCCUAAUACAUGCAAGUCGAGCGAACAGACGAGGAGCUUGCUCCUCUGACGUUAGCGGCGGACGGGUGAGUAACACGUGGAUAACCUACCUAUAAGACUGGGAUAACUUCGGGAAACCGGAGCUAAUACCGGAUAAUAUAUUGAACCGCAUGGUUCAAUAGUGAAAGACGGUUUUGCUGUCACUUAUAGAUGGAUCCGCGCCGCAUUAGCUAGUUGGUAAGGUAACGGCUUACCAAGGCGACCAUGCGUAGCCGACCUGAGAGGGUGAUCGGCCACACUGGAACUGAGACACGGUCCAGACUCCUACGGGAGGCAGCAGUAGGGAAUCUUCCGCAAUGGGCGAAAGCCUGACGGAGCAACGCCGCGUGAGUGAUGAAGGUCUUCGGAUCGUAAAACUCUGUUAUUAGGGAAGAACAAAUGUGUAAGUAACUAUGCACGUCUUAACGGUACCUAAUCAGAAAGCCACGGCUAACUACGUG
RNAcentral lists this ribosomal RNA (497 nucleotides) under uncultured bacterium. RNAcentral describes it as "partial 16S ribosomal RNA". It matches the Rfam family "Bacterial small subunit ribosomal RNA", at positions 28 to 507 of the family's 1533-position model. The record is from RNAcentral.